CGAGGGGGGCAAAUGUUGUUCGGAAUCACUGGGCGUAAAGGGAGCGUAGGCGGGUCCUUAAGUUAGGUGUUUAAUCCCGGGGCCCAACCCCGGACCGGCACUUAAAACUGGGAAUCUUGAAUAGUGGAGAGGUCGGUGGAAUUGGGGGUGUAGCGGUGGAAUGCGUAGAGAUCCCCAAGAACACCAGUUGCGAAGGCGGCCGACUGGACACAUAUUGACGCUGAGGCUCGAAAGCAUGGGGAGCAAACAGGAUUAGAUACCCUGGUAGUCCAUGCCAUAAACGAUGAAUACUAGGUUUUGGGCCCGUCAACGGUCCAGAGCCGCAGCUAACGCGUUAAGUAUUCCGCCUGGGGAGUACGGUCGCAAGACUG
RNAcentral lists this ribosomal RNA (371 nucleotides) under uncultured organism. RNAcentral's name for it is "bacterial SSU rRNA". It matches the Rfam family "Bacterial small subunit ribosomal RNA", at positions 526 to 896 of the family's 1533-position model. The record is from RNAcentral.